AUUUUAUGUUUAUGUUGUAAUGUGGGUGCAUAGCUCAGCUGGAUAGAGCAACGCCCUUCUAAGGCGUGUGUCCGGGGUUCGAAUCCCUGUGCGCUCACCACAUAUAUUGGGGAUUAGCCAAGUCGGUAAGGCACAUGACUUUGACUCAUGUAUGCGUAGGUUCGAGUCCUGCAUCCCCAGCCAAAUGAUGUAUUACUAAGCUAUAUUUGAACUAUUUUUAUUUUAAAUAUAGUUAGGUUCAAUUUUAGAAUAAGUUUAAGUAUCCGAAUGUGGAGAGGUGUCCGAGUGGUUUAAGGAGCUGGUCUUGAAAACCAGUGACUUCGAAAGGGGCCGUGGGUUCGAAUCCCACCCUCUCCGCCAAAUGCCCAGAUAGCUCAGUCGGUAGAGCAGGGGACUGAAAAUCCCCGUGUCGGUGGUUCGAUUCCGCCUCUGGGCACCAAAAUAUGGCGGUAUAGCUUAGUUGGCUAGAGCGUUCGGUUCAUACCCGAAAGGUCAUAGGUUCGACUCCUAUUACCGCUACUAAAAUUUAAUGUGGGCCAUUAGCUCAGUUGGUUAGAGCGCCCGGCUCAUAACCGGUAGGUCUGGGGUUCGAGUCCCUGAUGGCCCACCACAUUAAAUUAAUUAAUAUAAAUUCGAGGUGUAGCGCAGUUUGGUAGCGCACAUGGUUUGGGACCAUGGGGCCGGGGGUUCGAGUCCCUUCACCUCGACCAAUAUAAGGUGGGUAUAGCUCAGUUGGUUAGAGCGCCAGAUUGUGGCUCUGGAGGUCGUGAGUUCGACUCUCAUUAUCCACCCCAAUUCAUAUGGUCUAUUAGCUCAGUCGGUAGAGCACCUGACUUUUAAUCAGGGUGUCCCGCGUUCGAGUCGCGGAUAGAUCACCAAAAAGGUGGCGACAUAGCCAAGUGGUAAGGCAGUGGACUGCAACUCCUUGAUCCCCAGUUCGAAUCUGGGUGUCGCCUCCAAAAUAUUCCAAGGUAGCUCAACGGUGGAGCAACCGGCUGUUAACCGGUAGGCUGUGGGUUCGAGCCCCACCCUUGGAGCCAAAAAAGCCGAAGUGGCGGAACUGGCAGACGCACAGGACUUAAAAUCCUGCGGGACUUACCUCUCGUACCGGUUCGAUUCCGGUCUUCGGCACUUAUAAAACAAUAUCGCGGAGUGGAGCAGUUGGCAGCUCGUCGGGCUCAUAACCCGAAGGUCGUAGGUUCAAGUCCUGCCUCCGCAACCAUUAAAAUGGCUCGUUGGUCAAGAGGUUAAGACACCGCCCUUUCACGGCGGUAACAGGGGUUCAAUUCCCCUACGAGUCACCAAUUAAAUAUGCGGGUGUAGCUCAAUGGUAGAGUUCUGGCCUUCCAAGCCAGCUGUGAGGGUUCGAUCCCCUUCACCCGCUCCAAAAAUGGGACCAUAGCUCAGCUGGGAGAGCACCUGCCUUACAAGCAGGGGGUCACAGGUUCGAGCCCUGUUGGUCCCACCAUUUGCGGCCUGGUAGUUCAGUUGGUUAGAAUGCCAGCCUGUCACGCUGGAGGUCGAGGGUUCGANNNNNNNNNNNNNNNNNNNNNNNNNNNNNNNNNNNNNNNNNGUAGCGCAGUUUGGUAGCGCACAUGGUUUGGGACCNCUGUUUACCAAAAACAUAGGUUUCUGCUAAGUCGCAAGACGAUGUAUAGGAGCUGACGCCUGCCCGGUGCUGGAAGGUUAAGGGGAUCUGUUAGAGCAAUCGAAGCAGUGAACUUAAGCCCCAGUAAACGGCGGCCGUAACUAUAACGGUCCUAAGGUAGCGAAAUUCCUUGUCGGGUAAGUUCCGACCCGCACGAAAGGCGUAACGAUUUGGGCACUGUCUCAACAACAGACUCGGUGAAAUUGUAAUUCCGGUGAAGAUGCCGGAUACCUGCGACAGGACGGAAAGACCCCAUGGAGCUUUACUGUAGCUUGACAUUGGGUCUUGGUACUACAUGUACAGGAUAGGUGGGAGGCUUUGAAACCAGGACGCCAGUUUUGGCGGAGCCAUCCUUGGGAUACCACCCUUGUAGUACUGGGACUCUAACCAUAGGCCAUGAAUCUGGUCUUGGGACACUGUCAGGUGGGCAGUUUGACUGGGGCGGUCGCCUCCCAAAAGGUAACGGAGGCGCUCAAAGGUUCUCUCAGUACGGUCGGAAAUCGUACGUAGAGUGUAAAGGCAAAAGAGAGCUUGAUUGCAAGACAUACAGGUCGAGCAAGGAUGAAAAUCGGACUUAGUGAUCCGGUGGUUCUGCGUGGAAGGGCCAUCGCUCAACGGAUAAAAGCUACCCUGGGGAUAACAGGCUUAUCUCCCCCAAGAGUCCACAUCGACGGGGAGGUUUGGCACCUCGAUGUCGGCUCAUCACAUCCUGGGGCUGUAGUAGGUCCCAAGGGUUGGGCUGUUCGCCCAUUAAAGUGGUACGCGAGCUGGGUUCAGAACGUCGUGAGACAGUUCGGUCCCUAUCCGUCGCAGGCGUAGGAAAUUUGAGAAGACCUGUCCUUAGUACGAGAGGACCGGGAUGGACGUACCUCUGGUGUACCAGUUGUCCUGCCAAGGGCAUGGCUGGGUAGCUAUGUACGGAAUGGAUAAGCGCUGAAAGCAUCUAAGCGCGAAGCCAACUUCAAGAUAAGAUUUCCCACCGCAAGGGUAAGACCCCAGAAAGACUAUCUGGUUGAUAGGUCGAAGGUGUAAGUGCAGUAAUGUAUUUAGCUUAUCGAUACUAAUAGGUCGAGGACUUGACCAA
This 2732-nucleotide ribosomal RNA is filed under the name Clostridioides difficile. RNAcentral's name for it is "23S ribosomal RNA". The stretch from base 1238 to 2732 matches the Rfam family "Bacterial large subunit ribosomal RNA". The record is from RNAcentral. Lineage: Bacteria; Bacillati; Bacillota; Clostridia; Peptostreptococcales; Peptostreptococcaceae.